This 253-nucleotide ribosomal RNA is filed under the name uncultured bacterium. RNAcentral describes it as "partial 16S ribosomal RNA". It matches the Rfam family "Bacterial small subunit ribosomal RNA", at positions 524 to 776 of the family's 1533-position model. The record is from RNAcentral.
UACGAAGGGGGCUAGCGUUGUUCGGAUUUACUGGGCGUAAAGCGCACGUAGGCGGAUCGUUAAGUCGGGGGUGAAAUCCUGGAGCUCAACUCCAGAACUGCCUUCGAUACUGGCGAUCUUGAGUCCGGAAGAGGUGAGUGGAAUUCCGAGUGUAGAGGUGAAAUUCGUAGAUAUUCGGAGGAACACCAGAAGCGAAGGCGGCUCACUGGCCCGAUACUGACGCUGAGGCGCGAAAGCGUGGGGAGCAAACAGG